UCAUCAUAGUCUGUGAGAUUGACGUAAUCGAUGGAUAUGAUCUUUCCGGGUAUGAUUCUGGGCCUGUGAAGCGGGUGUGAAAAGCAUUUCAAGAAACAAGGCAUCGCGAGGUCCUUUUGUAACUAACCAUCGCGAGGUCUUUGUCGUUCCGGCCGUUUUCCCUCCAAACAGGUCACACCCUAAUCCUCAUCCUGCGUCCUCCCCCCGCCGCGGUCUACGCGUCCGCCGAGCUCCCUCGCGGCCGCCUCGGUCACCAUUGUUCCGGCGUCUCCUUUGCCUUUCAUCAAAUGGUCGUUUCGGCGUCUCCUUUGCCUUUCAUCAAGCGGUUCCGCGGCAAAAUGAUCGUGGUCAACUACGUCUUUCAUCAGCGACCUCGUUCUUCUUUCGUGCGACGGCCUACGCCCCAUCCUCGUCCAUGAUGACCACCCGGAGAUCGACUCCUCGCUCCUCCGUCUCGUCAUGAGGAACACAAACUUGGCUGACUUUGUGGUCCAAGGUUCAAUUUAGUUAGUAAUUACAUGGUGCAGAUUGAUCAUAUUAGAUAUCACUUACACCUACACAAGCGGUCAAAUGGUUGAUUGCAUUUGGUAAGUACUCAAGGGUUUCUUUCAUUGUGUUCUUGAGUAUCAUUCCUUUUUCUUUUCUUCUCUGAGUUAAAUUGUUGAGGUCAGGUGCCGAAGGUGAAGGCAGAUACCAAAACAAACUUAUAUACUGCCGUCUAAAUGGAAGCUGAUAAUUAUUGUUUUACUGAAAGUGUUACACAUUGGUUGCUUUGAUGUGAUUUAGAUGAUAACAAAAUGACAUGCAUUGAUAGUGUAUGAUUGUGACAAAAAAAAAAGAGUAGUUAGAAUUGUUAGAUUAUGUGACCCUAUUUAAUUGAUAAAUAAUAUUAGAUCUGAUUGGAUUCUAACGAAAGUUAUUAGUCAAUAGAAAGAAAGUUCAAUUAUGAUAGGAUUUCUUACGAGGGAGAAACUCUCAUAAUUAUUUAUUCUAGAUCCUUUGCUCUUGUCUAUAUAUAGACAAAACCUUCUAUAUAUGAACAUGAUAGAUCUACAUUUGAUGAUUUCUAGAAACUCCAUGAAAGAUAGACCUUCCUUCUUAGAACUUUUGGUAUCAAAAAUUCAAAUGUACAAGUUAUCAAAUGUAAAAGCACAUUCAAAUAUUGAUUAUUCUCUACCUUGGCAUCAUUGCAUGAGUCAUCAAUCAAUCACCAUUGUCAACAUCAUCAUUAUCAUGAAGCACUUUCCCUUAUAUAGCAUUGUAUUCUUCUUCCAUUGAACUAGCCUGCCAAUAGACAACAAUCAUGAUUGGUUAGGCAAGAGCCAAAACAAAUGGGUCUAGUUAUUAAAUUGGUUGAACAUGAGAAAACAAAACGUUAUCUUUCUGAUCUCAUAACACCAACUAGCAAUCAUUAAUUAGAAAUAGAAUAUUUUUAAUUCGAUGGUUAACGUAAUAAGGUAUUCCUUGUCAGCCGUUGAGUAUGACUUCCUAAUCCUUGGUGCUAAGCCUACCUCGCUAACCAAAUCCGUGAAGAAUAAAAGUAAUUCAAAAUAAAUUUUGAAUCUAGUCAAAGAGGGAAGGAGGAAGAGAGUGGCUAACCAAGAGUAGGUUCGCUGCUUGAUGAUGAAGAUAGGUGAGGUUAUCACCAAGUGCUCUUGGGCGUCAAGUGCCUCACCUGGUUUGGGUUAGCCCCUCCUUUCCUCCUCUCUUCUAUGACAAGAUUCUAUAUUUCUCUUAAAUUGGGUUUUGCUCUUCGUGGAUUUGGUUUAGGAAGGUGGGCAAACAAAACGUAAGGAAAUCAUGCUUUCUAUCUGACAAGCAAUACCCUGUCAUGAAGAAUGGUAUACACAUCAUAGACCAAGAGUUCUAAGGAGAAGGAAGGUCUAUCUUCUAUGGAGUUUUUGAAAAUCAACAAAGGUGGAGCUAUCAGGUCCAUCCUUUUAUUUUGGUGCUGAGGAGGAAGAUAUACCUCACAUGAUGGAGUAUGAAGAUCGCAACUUCAUCAAGACAUCUGGCAACUUUCUUGUUUUAUCACCUCGGUGGUUCCUACAAUCUGAGUAUGACUACACAAUGGACUUUGAUCUUGAUGUUCAGGUACGGCCUCGUUUUUUUUUAAAAAUAAUUUUCAUUCAUUACGUCAAACGAUAUACAAGACGUGCAUGUCGACUUGAACAUUAGACCUAUCGACUGUGCAACAGUAUACUAAGUUACUAACCACUAGAUGUGUCAACAGAGAAAAGAGUUGUGCUCUAUGGUUGGUUAUAUUUAAA
Long non-coding RNA from Musa acuminata AAA Group (dessert banana), 2270 nucleotides. RefSeq lists it as uncharacterized. The transcript has 3 exons. The record is from RefSeq and is a predicted model, not a curated record. Lineage: Eukaryota; Viridiplantae; Streptophyta; Magnoliopsida; Zingiberales; Musaceae.